RNAcentral lists this long non-coding RNA (483 nucleotides) under Chloebia gouldiae (Gouldian finch). Its description in RNAcentral is "Erythrura gouldiae (Gouldian finch) lncRNA (ENSEGOG00005004129.1)". Lineage: Eukaryota; Metazoa; Chordata; Aves; Passeriformes; Passeridae. The record is from RNAcentral.
CCGCGCUGCACCGACAUGCCCGCGCACAGCCCCCGGAGGGGCUCGCUGCUCUCCCCGCCGUAGCCACGCUUUGUGCUGCCCCUGCUCAAAGUUGCACCUUCACUAUGCGGCAUUUUCUGCCACAUUCAUUCGAAGGACAGCUCCGUGUCUGAAGUGCUGCCGGACUGAGCUGGGAGCACCGCGAAGCAAACAACUGCCACAUCCUCACCCUGCUUCUUGUCGCGGCACUGCAGUGGAGAUGGAAGUUUUUCAGCAAUGUAACUAGCGUCCCUGCUGGUUCUCCAUUCUGCAUCCGUGCAGCCACGUUCUAUUGAUGGCCUGUUGUGAUUUCAAUGGAACAUCAUGGGAUGUACCUGGCACGUCGGGCAGCACUGGAUGGAGGUGCCUUUAGCCCAAUGUACCUGGCAUGUACUGUUAAACUCACUGUUCAGGUGCUUGGUGUCUAGCCUUCUCAUCCAGCCACAAAUCCUCUACGUGAAAUGA